Monomorium pharaonis (pharaoh ant) is the source of this 3126-nucleotide long non-coding RNA. RefSeq lists it as uncharacterized. The transcript is spliced from 2 exons. NCBI's taxonomy places the organism in Eukaryota, Metazoa, Arthropoda, Insecta, Hymenoptera, Formicidae. The record is from RefSeq and is a predicted model, not a curated record.
GCACGUAAAGGGUUGUAACUGUGACUAAUUUUUUAUGAAGCUCUCACGCUUGAUGAGCGUUUACGCGCAGAAAUGACAUCGAUACGCGAUACGUAACGUAAUGUGCUAACAACGCUCGCGCGCGUUACCAGUUCUUUUUAGAAUUUGUAACAUUGGAAGCGCCCGUUAUGGAGCAAUCUCGUCGACGCGAUUACGCAAAUCAGUAAUAACAACUCUGCGGCGAAUUACGUAUCGCGCGUAUCGAUUCGGGAUACUUUUUCGUGCUCUAGCGCGGUUCGUAAUAUCGAAAUCUGGCGGCCGGUGGACGCCCAUAAUCGCUCCGCCGCGCCGCGUCUAAAUCGAUCUAAAAAGAAGCCACAGUCUGGGCCCAGGUCCAAGGCGGAGAGAGAGAAAGAGGAAAGUCUUCCCCUAAGGGCGUAUAAUGACACUAAAUUGCCGUUCCUAUCCUAGAAGAGAUCCGAGAUUAGUCGCUGAAAGUAAUGAGACCCGGAUAGACCGACCGCUCUACCUAGGCCGCUUUCAUGCAAAUUGUUCUCGAAUCAAGCACAAGGUCGACGUACGAUUUCCAUGAUACCGUAUUAAGCGAUCCAAAAUAACGUGGGAAAAUGUUGGCGGUCCUUGGGAACAAAUACGAAGACGCGCGAUCAAGAUCAACUCGGUCGAGCGUAAAUGUGCUUUCGGUAAGAGAUAUAAUUUGUAACGGAAGCGUGAUGAAACUCUCGAUGCAAAUUGAGCAAAUUCAAUAACGACGCAAUUUGCGUGUGUAUCCCAUGGCAGAUUUUCACAACGAGCCUUUCAAUUCCUUUGCGGAACUCGUGCCUCCUUUCGCGCACACGCGCGCCGCGAGGAAUUAGAGGGAGGGCGCAAUUUGCGUGAAGGGAGCUAAAAAUUAGAGCGAACGGCAGAAGCCGACUGAAACUUUAGAUAACGAACUUCAUCAAAAGCAGCAGCUCCAUGCAAAUCGCUCGCGGGGGUAGCGCGGAGGAUAGGGAAGGACAAGGCGAGUGUCGGCGGCUACCGAAGGGCCGGAGGCUGUGUAGAGGAGAGGUCCCGAAGCGGAUUUGGACGCGGAGAGGUAAAAGCGAGAGGGUCCGCGGAAGCGGCAGGAAAUUAAGGUCUGGAGGGCCGCGCGGCCAUUAGCAGCCGGCGCCAUGGAGGCGACACGCCCCCACGUGGAUUCAACCUUGCGCCAGCAACACCGGCGAAAGACAACGAACGCGCGCACCCUUCCAGGAUGGAAGCGACGUGAGAGAGGGAGAGAGAGAGAGAGGGAGAUGGGGAGAGAGACGAAAGAGAGCGAGGAGAAAGAGAAACGAGAAACGGAGAAGUCGCGACCGCGCCGCGCUCGAUCUAUCCUUCGAAGAAAGAGAGAUCCGGAGAGUCCUGCUAGGUUGCCCCGAUCAUUCAUCAACGCGUACAACAAAUGUCCUGCUCAUAUUUCUUCGCGGUAACAUGACACACCGUUGUAUAUGGUCAUUACUCAGGAUGCACUCGUGCACGAGGCGCCGUUUCAAGGCUUUCCGGGUGAUUUGUUCCUGUUACCUUUAACGCAAAAGUAACGAGUUAAAUAACUUUGCGUUAAAACUGUAGAUAGGCGAUUGUGAGAGCGAUUUUUGUACGAUCGAGAAAGCCGUGGAAUCGAGGAGUGAAACGUCUACAUCAGUUUCCCGUCUAAACGACGAGAGACAAGUUGGAAAGUAUCAAGAGUUAUUAUUCCGAGAAAUCUCCGGACGCCGUGUGAUUGCUCCCCGUUACGAUGCUGCCGACGAAUGGGAGCGCUCGUUGACGCGGAGGUCGUAAGAGGGUGACGGGCCGGCAGGAUGGGAGAACCGCGGAGGGUUGAAAGGACGAAAUCGUCGUCUCUCCCGCUUUUACGUCGAAAGGGAGGCGGAAGGUUUAGCGCGGCGGAGAUCGCAACGGGGUUGAGUGUCUCUCCGCCGGUGUACGAGCCACGCCCUCUUCAAGCUCGAUGAGUGCAGGUUGUAGGCAGGCCACGUAUCGAUCCGCCGGGACAAUAUGACAGUGGCCUGCGGAGACAACGACGUCCCUCGAUCAGCUCCCUCCAUCACUGAACCCUACGCGCGGAUACACGCCCUCCGUGACGCGGGUCGCGCGGCUUAACCGUCGCGAUCGCGAUUCGGCAGUUUAUUGUCGUCCUUUUGUCUUUUUCGGAGCGCUCUCACCGUGGCAAGGUGUCAACUAAGCUUCUAAAACCACGUCUCGAGUCCAAAUUAAGAGGGAACUGUAAUCGGCCGAGCGGACAAUCGACCGUCGACGGAAGUGCGACGACGAUCGUGCGUAGGUGAAAAGCUCGAGGAGAACCCCUCGUUCGCACAUCAGGCGAGACGCACGUCGACGAUCGGUACCUACCAGGUCUAUACUAUAUGCGUGCACGCUAACGAAGACAUCGGGAGCUCGUAAUAAUGGUAAAUCCGUACAGUUCCCCUCUUUAAGUGUACCGCAGCGAAACUUUCCCUUUCUAAAAAUAUAUUAUUUACUGUUGUAUAAAUUUUUGUUAUUCCAGUUGCGAACGGUCUUUCAGGAAGCGGCUUAGAAACUUGUUUCCGCUAUCAAGCCAUCGUUAUCGAAUUAGCCGAGCAGAGACAAUUAGACGAGGACGAAGUCGCGGGAAAAAAAAGAGAGGCUUCGUGCUCCAUAAAGGAGCGCCGCGCAAAAUUAGCCGGCGUUCUUUUCUGCUUUCGGUGUAAAAAGUGUCGGUCGUUCUCAAGAGCCAUUGACCGCGAUCUUCAAGCACCUGCCGAGCCGGCAUGGUCGAGUUUCUGAUUGGAUCCACCUGCAUUGAGUAGCCCCCAACCAGCGGUAUUGACUAACUGCGCCACUUCCACCAAGUCGCACUUUGCGUACUCCAACUUCUAGUUUUCUAUAUUUAACUGAAUCAUGAAUUCCUUAUACAGUGUUUUAAAUUUUAUUAUAACACAUAUGAUUCUAUCUUAUUUCAUUGUAAAGACAAAUACUAAUAUUCGCUCUACUUGGAAAUAAUAUUUUUUCUAGUCGGUAUAAAUAUAUUUAAAAGUUUUAUAUUUUAAAGUAUACUGUUGUGCGAUUCUGAUAUUUAUGCGAGAUAUUUAAAGAAAAAUUCUGAAUUAAAUCUAUAAAUGCAAUCCA